Molecule: ribosomal RNA, 460 nt
Filed under: uncultured bacterium
Lineage: Bacteria
Description: partial 16S ribosomal RNA
Rfam family: Bacterial small subunit ribosomal RNA
Source: RNAcentral
CCUACGGGAGGCAGCAGUGAGGAAUAUUGGUCAAUGGACGCAAGUCUGAACCAGCCAUGCCGCGUGCAGGAAGACGGCCCUAUGAGUUGUAAACUGCUUUUGUACGGGGGUAAGCGCAGAUACGCGUAUCUGUCUGAAUGUAUCUUACGAGUAAGGAUCGGCUAACUCCGUGCCAGCAGCCGCGGUAAUACGGAGGAUUCAAGCGUUAUCCGGAUUUAUUGGGUUGAAAGGGUGCGUAGGCGGUCGGGUAAGUUAGAGGUGAAAUCCCGAGGCUCAACUUUGGAAUUGCAGCUGAUACUGGUAGGCUAGAGAGUAGUAGCGGUAGGCGGAAUGUAUGGUGUAGCGGUGAAAUGCUUAGAGAUCAUAAAGAACACCGAUUGCGAAGGCAGCUUACCAAGCUACGUCUGACGUUGAGGCACGAAAGCGUGGGGAGCAAACAGGAUUAGAUACCCCUGUAGUC